CCUACGGGUGGCACCAGUGGGGAAUAUUGCACAAUGGGCGCAAGCCUGAUGCAGCCAAGCCGCGUGUGUGAAGAAGGCCUUCGGGUUGUAAAGCACCUUCAGCGGGGAGGAAGGCGAUAAGGUUAUUAGCCUUGUCGAUUGACGUUAACCGCAGAAGAAGCACCGGCUAACUCCGUGCCAGCAGCCGCGGAAAUACGGAGGGUGCAAGCGUUAAUCGGAAUUACUGGGCGUAAAGCGCACGCAGGCGGUCUGUCAAGUCGGAUGUGAAAUCCCCGGGCUCAACCUGGGAACUGCAUUCGAAACUGGCAGGCUAGAGUCUUGUAGAGGGGGGUAGAAUUCCAGGUGUAGCGGUGAAAUGCGUAGAGAUCUGGAGGAAUACCGGUGGCGAAGGCGGCCCCCUGGACAAAGACUGACGCUCAGGUGCGAAAGCGUGGGGAGCAAACAGGAUUAGAUACCCCUGUAGUC
Molecule: ribosomal RNA, 465 nt
Filed under: uncultured bacterium
Lineage: Bacteria
Description: bacterial SSU rRNA
Rfam family: Bacterial small subunit ribosomal RNA
Source: RNAcentral